AACGAACGCUGGCGGCAUGCCUAACACAUGCAAGUCGAACGAAACGUUCGGGACUUGUGGCGCACGGGUGCGUAGCGCGUGGGAACCUGCACUUGGGUUCGGCAUACCUCCCCGAAAGGGGUGCUAAUGCCGGAUAAUGUCUUCGGACCCAAGAUUUAUUGCGUUUGGAUGGGCAAUAGUUGGAUUCGCUGGUUGGUAGGGUAAGAGCCUACUAAGGGGUCGAUCCAUAGCUUGUCUGAGAGGAUGAUCAGCCACACUGGGACGAAGACACGGCCCAGACUCCUACGCAAGGGAGCAGUGGGUAAUAUAGCACAGUGGGCUAAGGCCUGAUCCAGCAAUGCCGGGUAAGUGAUGAUGGCCUUGGGGAUGUAAUGCUCUUUUACCCGGGAUGAUAAUGACGGUACCGGGUGAAUAAGCUCCGGCUAACUACGUG
RNAcentral lists this ribosomal RNA (433 nucleotides) under uncultured bacterium. RNAcentral's name for it is "partial 16S ribosomal RNA". It matches the Rfam family "Bacterial small subunit ribosomal RNA", at positions 29 to 507 of the family's 1533-position model. The record is from RNAcentral.